AAAAGUCUUCCAGACGAAGCUCAGCCGAGACUACAAAUUGGAAAAGUCGACAAUCAUCCGACAUGGCAACAAAAUGAUGGCGGGGUUUGAGGCCAACAGAUUGCAAGAUGAUCGUAAACGGUUUCGGGGGAGCGGCACAUCCUGAAGUGGAGAAAGAGGGUUCAAGAUGAGAUGGUGACAUUCUACUCCCCAAGCUGCACAGUUACCCCUUCCUCGGACAGUGACAGCGGGCGGAGUCUCCGGCGUCACACCUACUGGCGACGAUCAUCAUCCGUGAGGGGCAGCUGCAACGGAGCGCCAGAAGACAGCGGUUUCCAAUCACGCUGCAGCGGAGAAUGAAACAGGUGG
Long non-coding RNA from Hippocampus zosterae (dwarf seahorse), 348 nucleotides. RefSeq lists it as uncharacterized. The record is from RefSeq and is a predicted model, not a curated record. NCBI's taxonomy places the organism in Eukaryota, Metazoa, Chordata, Actinopteri, Syngnathiformes, Syngnathidae. The transcript has 4 exons.